AGCAUGGAUCUUUCUAAGCAUGCACAUGGCACCAUAAGAUGCAAUGCAUCGGCAGAAUGGACAGCUGGCAUUUGUGAGUGCAUUGCAUGACCGUCCAUCCUGCGUUGUGCACAUAGCACGUGCGGUGCACCCUUGGAUGCCAUCCACAUAGGAUGGAUAGUCUGUGCUUGUGCUUGCAUUGUACGGCCAUCCAUCCAUUCAGAGGUGCACCGCAUCCGUGCCGCACAUGCAUCGUAGGACAUCCUCUCCAAACAAAUAAAUUGAUACGGCA
Molecule: long non-coding RNA, 271 nt
Filed under: Elaeis guineensis (African oil palm)
Lineage: Eukaryota; Viridiplantae; Streptophyta; Magnoliopsida; Arecales; Arecaceae
Description: long non-coding RNA (EGUI_LNC000721)
Source: RNAcentral